GAAGGGAGCUUGCUCCCGGAUGUUAGCGGCGGACGGGUGAGUAACACGUGGGUAACCUGCCUGUAAGACUGGGAUAACUCCGGGAAACCGGAGCUAAUACCGGAUAGUUCCUUGAACCGCAUGGUUCAAGGAUGAAAGACGGUUUCGGCUGUCACUUACAGAUGGACCCGCGGCGCAUUAGCUAGUUGGUGAGGUAACGGCUCACCAAGGCGACGAUGCGUAGCCGACCUGAGAGGGUGAUCGGCCACACUGGGACUGAGACACGGCCCAGACUCCUACGGGAGGCAGCAGUAGGGAAUCUUCCGCAAUGGACGAAAGUCUGACGGAGCAACGCCGCGUGAGUGAUGAAGGUUUUCGGAUCGUAAAGCUCUGUUGUUAGGGAAGAACAAGUGCAAGAGUAACUGCUUGCACCUUGACGGUACCUAACCAGAAAGCCACGGCUAACUACGUGCCAGCAGCCGCGGUAAUACGUAGGUGGCAAGCGUUGUCCGGAAUUAUUGGGCGUAAAGGGCUCGCAGGCGGUUUCUUAAGUCUGAUGUGAAAGCCCCCGGCUCAACCGGGGAGGGUCAUUGGAAACUGGGAAACUUGAGUGCAGAAGAGGAGAGUGGAAUUCCACGUGUAGCGGUGAAAUGCGUAGAGAUGUGGAGGAACACCAGUGGCGAAGGCGACUCUCUGGUCUGUAACUGACGCUGAGGAGCGAAAGCGUGGGGAGCGAACAGGAUUAGAUACCCUGGUAGUCCACGCCGUAAACGAUGAGUGCUAAGUGUUAGGGGGUUUCCGCCCCUUAGUGCUGCAGCUAACGCAUUAAGCACUCCGCCUGGGGAGUACGGUCGCAAGACUGAAACUCAAAGGAAUUGACGGGGGCCCGCACAAGCGGUGGAGCAUGUGGUUUAAUUCGAAGCAACGCGAAGAACCUUACCAGGUCUUGACAUCCUCUGACAACCCUAGAGAUAGGGCUUUCCCUUCGGGGACAGAGUGACAGGUGGUGCAUGGUUGUCCUCAGCUCGUGUCCUGAGAUGUUGGGUUAAUUCCCCAACGAGGGAACCC
Molecule: ribosomal RNA, 1047 nt
Filed under: Bacillus sp. (in: firmicutes)
Lineage: Bacteria; Bacillati; Bacillota; Bacilli; Caryophanales; Bacillaceae
Description: bacterial SSU rRNA
Rfam family: Bacterial small subunit ribosomal RNA
Source: RNAcentral